This 285-nucleotide unclassified non-coding RNA is filed under the name plant metagenome. RNAcentral describes it as "partial contains small subunit ribosomal RNA, internal transcribed spacer 1, and 5.8S ribosomal RNA". The stretch from base 1 to 54 matches the Rfam family "Eukaryotic small subunit ribosomal RNA", at positions 1778 to 1831 of the family's 1831-position model. The record is from RNAcentral.
AGAAGUAAGAGUCGUAACAAGGUUUCCGUAGGUGAACCUGCGGAAGGAUCAUUAUUGUAUAACCGAGGUGCGAGGGCUGUCGCUGACCCGAAAGGUCGUGCACGCCCGAGUGCCCUCACACACAUCCAUCUCACCCCUAUGUGCACCACCGCGUGGGUCCCCCUUUGGCUUGUUCGGAGGGGGGCUUACGUUUUCACACAAACUUUGUAUGCAGUGUAGAAUGUAUUUUUUGUUUUUGCGAUCACGCAAUCAAUACAACUUUCAACAACGGAUCUCUUGGCUCUC